Molecule: ribosomal RNA, 186 nt
Filed under: uncultured bacterium
Lineage: Bacteria
Description: partial 16S ribosomal RNA
Rfam family: Bacterial small subunit ribosomal RNA
Source: RNAcentral
GCCUUCAUGAAGCCGGAAUUGCUAGUAAUGGCAGGUCAGCAUACUGCCGUGAAUACGUUCCCGGGCCUUGUACACACCGCCCGUCACACCAUGAGAGUUGGGAAUACCCGAAGCCUGUGAGCUAACGUUAAGAGGCAGCAGUCGAAGGUAGAAUCAAUGAUUGGGGUGAAGUCGUAACAAGGUAGC